This 1123-nucleotide long non-coding RNA is filed under the name Homo sapiens (human). Its description in RNAcentral is "non-protein coding lnc-MPLKIP-15:1". The record is from RNAcentral. Lineage: Eukaryota; Metazoa; Chordata; Mammalia; Primates; Hominidae.
CGCUGCCGAGGCUCGGGGCGCGCGCAGUUGGCGUCUGCCAGUGCCAAGACUGUGCCGCCCCCACAGCCGAGGCGCGAAAGGGGGACGCCCGGCCUCUGGGCCGCUGCCUUCGCUUUCUCUUCGUUGUUGCGAACGCCGUCCGCUCAGGAGGCGCCCCGCGACCGGCGCGAUGAGUGCCAACGAGGACCAGGAGAUGGAACUAGAAGCAUUACGCUCUAUUUAUGGAGGAGAUGAAAGUUUCCGGGAAUUAAGUCCAGUUUCUUUUCAACAUAGGGUGAAAAUGGUGAUCCCAAAGCCUUCUUAAUAGAGAUUUCCUGGACAGAAACAUAUCCCCAAACACCUCCAAUUCUAUCUAUGAACGCUUUUUUUAACAACACCAUAUCAUCAGCUGUAAAGCAGAGUAUAUUAGCCAAGCUACAGGAAGCAGCAGAAGCUAAUCUUGGAACCGCUAUGACCUAUACAUUGUUUGAAUAUGCCAAAGACAAUAAAGAGCAGUUCAUGGAGAAUCACAAUCCCAUCAAUUCCGCAACAUCGAUAAGCAAUAUCAUCUCAAUUGAAACUCCUAAUACAGCCCCAUCAAGUAAGAAAAAAGACAAGAAAGAACAACUUUCAAAAGCCCAGAAGCGUAAGCUGGCAGACAAAACAGAUCACAAAGGAGAACUUCCUCGAGGCUGGAACUGGGUUGAUGUUGUGAAGCAUUUAAGCAAAACUGGCUCUAAGGAUGAUGAGUAGCACUUGGAAUUUGAGACAAGGAAAGAGCAUUCUUUAAAGAGUAAAACUGGGUUCAAAAUCUUUCAUUACUAUUUUCUGGUAUUGAGGCAACUUUUUAUAAAACACAAUUUUUUGUAUGUUUCUUACAUUAAAAAGGUUGUAAGUUGAAAGUUCAUGAAGAGAUCUUGUUGUAUUAAAUUAUUUUCACAAACUUGCCUUAAUAAAAGGUGAAAAUGUUACUGUUUAGUAUACUUUAUGAAGCCCCUUGAGCUUUAUAAAUGGACAGGCAUGGGGAAUAAGAAUCAGUGUUAAUUUAAAUGAUCUUAUCCUGGUGGAUGUGCUAUUUUCUUAAAGGAGUAUGAAGCCCUUUUCAAACUAUCAUCCCAGUGGAGCGGAGUACUCAGUGAACAGU